ACAAAGAUACUCCUAUUAGGCAUUAUGUGCCGAAGAUUACCUCCCAGGAGUCUAGGACAAAGGCCACACCCCUUUUUGGUCAAUGUUAAUUUUUAUUUGGAACUAUACAACAUUGCCAUCACUCUGUUAUCCUUUCUGUUUUGUCUUCAAAAUAACCUUAAUUGGUGGGUAAGGAUAUUUAUUAUUAUAAACAAGAUCUCAAGAGGGAAGACGCUUGGGCAAGGUUGCACAGUCGAUCCUGGACUCAUGGUACAAGACUCUUUCCACUCUCUGAGAGCCCCAAGUCCUGAGAAGAUGGAAACAAG
Molecule: long non-coding RNA, 305 nt
Filed under: Pongo abelii (Sumatran orangutan)
Lineage: Eukaryota; Metazoa; Chordata; Mammalia; Primates; Hominidae
Description: lincRNA
Source: RNAcentral